UCAACUUCUAAUCAGAAACGACUCUCAGACGGCGCCCUGGUUCAGAAAGAAAGGAAGGAGAAACGGGGUGAGUCACCGCCCAAACCAUCUGAAUGAAACAAAGACACAACAAACGCUGCCUUCCAACUGCGCCAGAACCGAUGACCUCAGUCCUGCAGAGACGCAGCUGGAGAGAAUUAAGGGGAUCUCCGGUUCCCCGAGAUAGCGAAGACGGCCCAGCCGACCCCCCAUGACUCACGCAGCUAAAGGAAACUGAUGCGCAGUUAAGGAUGUCCCUUCAUCGGAAAAUCGCAGGAGACGUUUGCAGUGUUUCAUCCAACACGCAUGAUGCCAACGAAUUUACUAUUCACUUAAUCCUCACAGCUCUGCAAGGGAAUUACUCCUACCACCCCCCUUUUACUGAUGAGGACGUCGAGGCUCAGAGAGGGUACGUAAGUCAUCCAAGGUCACACAGCUAGUGAGUGGCAGAGCCAGGAUUUGUUCCUACAUGUUGUCCUCUGCCUCCGUUUUCGAAACACUUACGAGGUUCAGCGCAGGGUGAAACCCAUGCCCUGGGAAGUAAUGUCUUAUUUUUUCCAGCUUGUUGGGAUAGACUUCUAAUCCCUUCAACCUCUCUCAUCUGGCUAAACAACAGUCCUUGCUCUGCUGCAGUUGGUGGCUCAGAGACCCCUCAUCUGCGGCUGCCCAUGAGCACACCGCAGGCCUCUCGCUUUGUCUGGGAGAGUGGCUCUCCUGUGACAACAGAAACAUGAGUCAGUGGUGCUGAUGGGGGCCUGGGGCCAGGGGACUCUCAAAAGCAGCCGUGCAGGAGCAACAGCUGGAACAGGGCCGCCUCCACAUCUGAGAGGCCCCCCACCCCAUCACGACACAGCCCGGGGGCCCUUUGGCCAUCUCUCCCGUCAAGGCCACUUACGAAGGAGUCGGAGGGAGUACUGGCACCCAGCCCGUGAGUGAGCAAAUCCCCUAGCAUAUUCGCUCUCUCUGCUUCUCUACCUGCAGUGACACCUCCCCCAAGGCCCAAGGCUGCCACUCACUGGGCAUCUGUGCAGGCGCAGGCCCCCUUCCCUCUCUACCCCAGCCUCGUCUCUGACACGGGGAGGUGGGUGAAUAGAAAGUAUCACGCCAGGGGUCCCCAUGGCCUCCUGCUGGCCCAGGUAACCAAAGAUCCUUACUGACCGCAGAUGAAGCUUGUCUUGGUCCAUACUUAAGGCCAUCAACUCUCAUACCCUCAUCUUUAAAAGGGUCUGCCUUAUAGGACUAAUGUAUAAUAGUAAUAACAAUUAAAAGCUCAAUAAUCCAUUGCAAGCUGGCAAAGCCAAGUCCGGGCUCAGCCCCAGCCUCGGCACAGACGGCUUGCAACAGAUUACUGAGCUUUUGAUUAUUAUUACUAUUAUACACUGAUCCUCACAAAACUGGUUUAUUUCUUGCCCCAUUCUCCCAGGUCAGGUUUCCAAAUCGAGGGCAGAGGUUGUGCCAAACCUGCCGACGGGUUUCAUCUGGCACACGAGGUGUCAGCCCACAUAAUAGUUUUAAAACUUGAGAUAGUUGCCAAAGGAAUUAGUUAGGGUACAGUUCAAGGGGCUGACCUGGAGACCCCCAAAUAACAGCAGCUUAAAGAAGAGAUCAUUUUAUACCUCUCUGCCAGGAAGUUCAAGGACUGGCAGGUGGCUACAGAAGCUCCAUGGGGCCAGGGACCCAGGUUCCCCCUUCCUGCUCUGCCUGCUUCCCAGAGUGACUUCCAGAGGUCCACCUCAUCUGGCUCUGCAUUCGGCCAGCAGCAGGAGGGCAGGGGAGGCGUGCCCACUUUUUGAGGAUGAGGCCUGGCAGCGGCUCACGUCACUUCUGCUCAGCCCCUUGGCCUGAGCUUGGUCAUGUGGUCACACACAGCUGUUGGAGGUGCAGCUUAUUCGGGAUGGCCACAAGCCUAGCUACGAUGCAGAAUACUAUUAUCAAAGACGAAGAAAACCAGCGUGGGGGACAAAGAGCAGUCUCUGACACGCUGACAAUUAACAAUCAGGACACUUUAGAUUCUGGUGCAUCUCGAUUAUAAGGAGAACUGACACGCACUGAGCACCUCUACGCCCCCGCCUCCGCCCACCCUGCAUCAGCCACACGAGGGAGGUGCAUCAGAGACUGUGAGCUGGAAUUCAGACUUGCCCCCAAGGAAGGGCAAAGCCAAGCCCCUUCUCCUACCCCAUCCGGGUGUGUGCUGGAUGGCUGUGCUAGGAAAAACUCUGGAAUGGCCCAGCGAGUCAAUUCCCUAAGUCCCUUCCCCCAGUUCCUUUCCUCCUGAUGGCUGAGGGCCCACCAGGCACAAGGCUCCCCUACAGAGUAUGCUUCCUGCCAUCUGGUCCUCGGGCUGAGGACAGGGGAAGGUGCCUGAGGGCUCUGCUGGCACCAACACUCACACUGGCUUCCUACCCUUGUCUGCCCCAGAAGCCUAGGAGCCUUUUGGGGAAGCUAAGCUAAUGGUACGCCAUCCCUACGGGAGAGGCGGGGCCACCCCGGGGCCACCCGGUGGCGGGGUCCCCCACACUACGGCUCCUGGCUGCUCCAACAGGAAAACCAGCGGUGUGUGCUUUCGCCUCCCAGCGGGUCAUAAAUAUCGCUCCUGGAGAUUAGCGGGGCCCCACGCUCCUGUUCUCAGCCUCUCCAAGGGACUCGAGGCAGGGCUGAGUCACGGUCCCCGGCCCUUUCUAAAUUGUACUUAAAAUGAAAAAAUAAAUAGGAGAGGGAAAGGGCCUGAUUGUUUGUAAGAGCAGAAGAAUGAGCUUUCUUUGUGCUUGCAGGCCUCCAGAAGGACCCAAGGGAGUGAGCUCAGGGCUGCUGCUCCCGCUCACCAAACUUCACCUUCAAGGUGAAGCCAGGAGCCAAAGAAAAUAUUGUGAUAAAGUCUAAGUUACUGCCGAUGCCUACCCGGCCACUUGAUUAACUGAACCGAGUGCAAACAAAUCUUCCAGCUCCUUCCUCUCUGCAAAUCUGGGUGGGAGGAGACGAGGCCUGGGCUCGGAGCCAGCCUCCCGCUCGCCACACUCUGCUCUGUGCCCUGCUUUUUUCUUUCCUUGUCUCUUUCUACAGGGUACACGGGACUCGCUGCGUGACCUCUGGGGCCUGGUGCAAACUGAAGACGCAGGGUCCUUGUUCAAAAAGCAGGGGAAAAAUAGCGCCACUAAAGAUCCUAAAAUAUAAAGGUGUUUCCUUUAUUCUGCGGUC
Molecule: long non-coding RNA, 3213 nt
Organism: Pteropus alecto (black flying fox)
Lineage: Eukaryota; Metazoa; Chordata; Mammalia; Chiroptera; Pteropodidae
Exons: 2
Source: RefSeq, a predicted model, not a curated record